GAAAUGCGAUAAGUAGUGUGAAUUGCAGAAUUCAGUGAAUCAUCGAAUCUUUGAACGCACAUUGCGCCCUUUGGUAUUCCAAAGGUCAUGCCUGUUCGAGCGUCAUUUGUACCCUCAAGCUUUGCUUGGUGUUGGGCGUCUUGUCUCUAGCUUUGCUGGAGACUCGCCUUAAAGUAAUUGGCAGCCGGCCUACUGGUUUCGGAGCGCAGCACAAGUCGCACUCUCUAUCAGCAAAGGUCUAGCAUCCAUUAAGCCUUUUUUUCAACUUUUGACCUCGGAUCAGGUAGGGAUACCCGCUGAACUUAAGC
Molecule: unclassified non-coding RNA, 308 nt
Filed under: plant metagenome
Description: partial contains 5.8S ribosomal RNA, internal transcribed spacer 2, and large subunit ribosomal RNA
Rfam family: 5.8S ribosomal RNA (bases 1-105)
Source: RNAcentral